GGACUGUGUGUAGGGUCUGUAGACCAGUGUAAAGGUUUGAGUUUAUUCUGUGUGAGAGGGAAAGAGCCUCUGCAGGGUUUGGGGCUGAGGAGUAUUAUGGGCUGAUUUAUGUGUUUAAAGGAUUCUGCUAGUCAUUGUUUUGAGAAUUGACAAUUGAGGGCCAAGGCUGGAAACAAGGAGACCAUUAAGUAGUCAUGGCAAUAAUCCAGUGAAAAACUAUAGUGACUUGAACAGGGUUCCAGCAGGUAAAGACUAAGCCCCCUGAAAAAAUGGAAUUACCAUUUAUAGAAAUGGAGAAGGCUGGGAUAGGAGUAGUUUGGAGGUGAAAAUCAGAAUCAGUUUUGACAACAGAAAGUGACAUCUUGCUAAAAGAACUCAUCAGCUUCUUUCCUGGGGAUGGCAUCUCCUGAUAUGUUUCUAUGGAUGACCUUGACCAACCCCGGGAGAGAGACAUUCUCUGCACAGAAGUGAUGUGCACAGAAGAGAUGGAUCAUCUCACAUGGUGCCCUCUGAUACCUCAGAUAGAGCUCUACUUUGACCUAUGCAGAUCUCCCCUCUUAUCUGGAAGUCCUGUCCCCUGUGUUGAGGGGGAAGAGCAUUAUCCAGUGUAAAUAGAUUAUCGUGGAACAAAUCCCCAAAGAAACUUUUUAAAAAAGCAUCUAAAAGGUAAAAUGAAAAACAAAACCGUCCUAUUUGCUCCCAACAUCUUUUUUUCCCAAAAAACAAAAACAAAAACAAAAA
This 741-nucleotide long non-coding RNA is filed under the name Mustela putorius furo (domestic ferret). RNAcentral describes it as "lncRNA (ENSMPUG00000029159.1)". Lineage: Eukaryota; Metazoa; Chordata; Mammalia; Carnivora; Mustelidae. The record is from RNAcentral.